Non-coding RNA from Oryctolagus cuniculus (rabbit), 5686 nucleotides. NCBI's taxonomy places the organism in Eukaryota, Metazoa, Chordata, Mammalia, Lagomorpha, Leporidae. The record is from RefSeq and is a predicted model, not a curated record.
CAGCGCACAAGGGAAACACAAGACACCCUCUGCCGCACCCUGAAGAGUCCCCCGCCCCGCUUCCUCUUUGUGUGGGGAGGGGUCCAUCCUCGCUUUGGGCGUGAGGGCGGGAUCUGGAGACAUUUUCUGGGUUGAGGCGAUCGACUCUGACGUCAACACUUGGAAGUCAGGGCAGACGGGAGCACAGCGCGUGGAGAGGGCCUCCGGGCCGCGACUCCCGGCCAUGCGCCUCUCCCGGGGGCGGCUCCGGCCCGACACUGCCGCGUUAGCCUUUCCGAACCUCGGCGUGUGGACAAAGGAGGGGGCGCCCCGGACUCGCGCCGGCGGCCGAGGACAGCCCCGACGGAAGCGGGGGCGGCUGGCGGCGGCGGACUCAGCAGAAAUCGUCACGGGUGGGGAAGGAGCCGGCCAGGCAGGCGCGCAGGCGCUGGACCGGAAACCGGAAGCCGGCGUGGCGGCUCGGGGCAGGCGGACUUCCGGCCCCGCCCCGCCGGCUUAAUUCGGGGCAGAACGUUCUCCCUGGUCCUGAGGCGUUCGCGUCGUCGUCUCCUUGGCAGCGGGGGGCUUCGCUGCCUGGCCGAGAGCCAGGGCCAGCCCUGUGUGGUACGCUGCCUUCUCGCGGUGCUGAGUGGUGGUGGCUGGGCACGUCUCCCUGUCAGCCCCACGGCCGGUCGUGUGUUGCCUUCAGCAUGACAGGUUGAGCGCUGUUACAAGGUGGCCUGUGUGUUAGGUGAUUCCGUCCACUGCAGACCAGGAGAGGGGCCAUCAGACGGUCACUCAGAGACGUCCACACUUGAUUAGUCGCCUCGGGGAACAGGCCAGGCAGCUGGCGUCUUCACUGGAGAAGUUGUUCACUCCAAAGCAACAUUUACCGUAAGCUGUCUGCGUCUAAGAAUGGUACUGGGAUGGAGGGCCCAGCCUGCUUCCUCCUUGGCCAACCAGUCAUUCUCAUAAAGUGAAUCAACUCUCAGGCCAUCGUGCUGAGUGAAAUAAACCAGGCCCGGAAAGACGCACAAGCGUGACCUCACUGUCAUGUGGAAAGCAAGAGGCUGAGCCCAGGGAAGCAGGGAGGGGAGGAGAGGCCACCAGGGUCUGCAAAGGGCCGAGGAGGCGAGGUCAGGUACAGAGACACCGUGAGGUGGGAGGAAUGGGUCCUGGGUUCCACAGGGUGACUUCAGCGGCCAGUAAUGCACACUGCAGAAUGGCCGGAAGAGGAUUUGAGCGUUCCCCUCACCAGGAAGUGGUACGUGUUUGAGGUGAUGGGUCUGCUAAUUACCCUGCUGUGAUCGUCACACCACAUACACCCUGAAACGCCUCCCCGUGCUCCGUAAAUGUGUAUAAGUUUUACAGUUUCUGAUGUAUGGAUAGAAACGCAGGGAGAGAGAAGAAUCUUCCAUCUACUGGUUCACGCAACAAAUGCACACAGCAGCUGGGUCUGGGCCAGGUAGAAGCCAGGAGCCUGGAACUCCAUCUAGGUCUCCCACUUGGGUGGCAGGGACCCAGACACUGGAGCCAUCGCCCGCUGCCUCCUGGGGUCCACGUGAGCAGGAAGCUGGAUCAGAAGUGGAGCAAGGGAGACCAGCAUUUGUGGUACAGUGGGUUCAGCCGCUGCCUAUGUUGCCAGCCUGCCAUGUUGCAGGGCUGGCCUGGUCCUGGGUGCUCUGCUUCUGAUCCAGCUCCCUCCUCAAGUGCCUAGGAAGGCAGAGGAAGGUCCAGAUACUUGGACCCCUGCCACCCGUGUGGGAGACCCGCGUGGAGUUCCUGGCUCCUGGCUCCUGCCUGAUGCAGCCCCUAGCAUCACAGCCAGUUGGGGAGUGAACCAGUGGAUAGAUCUCUUUCCCUCUCUCUCUCUCUGUUACUCUGCUUUUCAAAUAAAAUAAAUCUUGACAAAGAAACGAAAAGAAGUGGAGCUGGGUCUGAUACCCAAGUGCUUCAAUAUGGGAUGUGAGCAUUCAGACCUGUAACUUCAUUGCUGUACCAGAAGCCUGCCCCAGAAUGUCAGAUGUCAAUCAGAAUAAAAUGAAAACGUUUUCAGUGGUGAACCAAUUGUGACCGUGCCUAUGGGAGCUGGAAAUGCCCAUCAUUCAGUGUCCUGUCCACCCCCAGCUCUCUCCACCCUCCUGGGUCCUACCCUGCACGGGGGAAGCUGACCUCCUUGGACCGGUCCCUGAGUCCCCUCCCCACAGGAGGCCAGAGGGUGGAAGAAGGGUCUGUGUGUAUCUUCCCCUGUCCCUCCAUCACUCAGCCUGGCGUGGCAGUGGCUGCCUCCCGCUGUGACAUCAGCCUCGCAGACAGCCCCUGUCCCUGGUGCCAUGUCCCACUGGGCGCCCUUGGGGUAGUCAUGGCUGUUCUGGCUGGCAGUCCCAGGGUACUCUGCCCACACCUCGGCACAGUCACUCACCGGGUGGGGAGUGGGAGGGCAUUCUGCCUUCUGGCUAAGACACUGGCUAGGGGAACGUGUCCCCUAUUUGAGUCCCCACUCUGGCUCUCUACUCCAGCUUCCUGCUAAUGUGCACCCUGGAAGGUAGUGGUGAUGGCUUAAGAAGUCAGGUAGAGUUCACAGCUUCCAGCUUUCAACGCCCCCUCCAUCCACUGCGGGCGUUUUGUGGGGAGUGAGACAGUAGAUAGGGCUCAGUCUGCGCAGGCUCUCUAAGAAAUAGCAAACUGUUUUAAAAGUUCAUGGGGGCCAGUGCCGUGGCUCACUAGGCUAAUCCUCUGCCUGCGGUGCUGGCACCCCGGGUUCUAGUCCCUGUCGGGGUGCCUGAUUCUGUCCUGGUUGCUCCUCUUCCAGUCCAGCUCUCUGCUGUGGCCCAGGAGUGCAGUGGAGGAUGGCCCAAGUGCUUGGGCCCUGCACCCGCAUGGGAUAAGCACCUGGUUCCUGGCUUCAGAUCAGCGCGGUGCACCAGCCGCAGUGGCCAUUGUGGGGUGAACCAACGGCAAAGGAAGACCUUUCUCUCUGUCUCUCUCUCACUGUCCACUUCCCCACUUCAUGGGAAGUGCAUAUUACAGGAGCUGCACACGGAAGCCUCCUUUGAAGUCCCAGCUGAUGAUCCCACUGCCGUGACCGUCUGAAAAAUGGGAUGGUGAAGGGGGGCAGUGGGUUCCCGGGGCUGUGGAGAGGGAUGUGCAGGUGGAGCAGCAGAGGUUUUUAGGGCAGAAAAACUGUUCUGCCUGCUUCUAGCACCAUGGGUGACAGGCACACACACCUGCCCAGGUGCACAGCACCGUGGGUGACAGGCACACACACCUGCCCAGUUGCACAGCACCGUGGGUGACGGGCACACACACCUGCCCAGGUGCACAGCACCGUGGGUGACGAGCACACACACCUGCCCAGCUGACAGCACCGUGGGUGACGAGCACACACACCUGCCCAGCUGCACAGCACCGUGGGUGACGGGCACACCCACCUGCCCAGCUGACAGCACCGUGGGUGACGUGCACACCACCUGCCCAGGUGCACAGCACCGUGGGUGACGGGCACACACGCCUGCCCAGGUGCACGGCACCGUGGAUGACGGGCACACCCACCUGCCCAGGUGCACGGCACCGUGGGUGACGGGCGCACCCACCUGCCCGGCUGCACGGCACCGUGGGUGACGGGCGCACCCACCUGCCCGGCUGCACGGCACCGUGGGUGACGGGCGCACACACCUGCCCGGCUGCACGGCACCGUGGGUGACGGGCGCACCCCAGGUGCACAGCACACACAGCUGCAGGGUGAAGCUCAUGCUAACCGUGGCCGUGGUAAUCUUGGUGUUAGCCUAGCUUCCUCCCUCAUGGCAAUAGACCACUCUGGUUGGAAUAUUCUUCUUUGAAAAAUUUUUUUAAAAGAUUUAUUUUUUUAGUUGAAAGAUGUACAGAGCGAGCGGGAGAGGCCUUCCAUCCACUGGUUCAUGCCCAAGAUUGGUGCAAUGGCCAGGCCUGGGCCAGGGUUAAGCCAGGAGCCAUGAGCUUCAUCUGGGUCUCCCAUGUGGGUGCAGGGCGCCAACACGUGGGCCGAUUGAUGCUUUUUUUCCCAGGCCGUUAGCAGGGAGCUGGCGCAGCUGGGACUUGAAUGGGCGCCCAUAUGGGAUGCCAGUGUUGUGAGUGGCAGCUUUAUCUGCUGUGCUACAGCACUUGGUGCUGGGGGUGCUCUUGACCAGGGAGGUGGUUUGUGUGGGGGAGCAGAUAUGCAGAACUCUGUACUUUCCCCUCUGUUUUGCUGUGAGCCUCACCAUGAAAAACCAAGUCCGUUAAUUAGAAGUCCUCGCUGCACGACGACCACAGAGGGGGAGACAGGCCCGGCCCACAGAACAAGCUGGCCGGCGGCCGUGUCAGGUGGUGGGAAGUUUCCCUGUGCCACAGAGACCUGAGAAGGAGGUGGCUUCCACAGGAGCGGGGUGAAGGCCUGCCUGCACUUGUCCCUGCAGUGCUGCCGAUUACUGUGCGGCCCUGUUGUCCCUGGGGUGAGAUGAGCGGCUGCGUGAGUGGCUGCAUCCUGGUCAGGGCUGCAGGCAGGGCAGGGCUCGGUCGGAGAGGAAGCAGGUACCAGGAAAAUGAAGUCUCGCCUGAGACUUGCAGGCUGCCAUGACGGUGAGAGGUUUUAGGAAGUGUUGGAAGUUGCUCACGUCUUCUGGGUGCUCUGCCCCACGCUAAGAGUGCCAUUGAGGGAUUCCCCCAACUCACACUACAGGCCUGCCCCGCACUACGCACUCCUGCUUCGCAGGACAAGAGGCCGCUGGCGAGUGAGGGCCAGAUGUCCGAUCUGAGCUCACCACCGUGAGCACAUUUUGCUGUCCACCAUGGUGAAUUUUAAUGGAUCUUUGCUUUUCCAAGUAGAUGAUAGCAGAUGAGGGCAGGAAUGUGUCUAAUUCCUCUUUUUUUUUUUUUUUUUUUUUUUUUGACAGGCAGAGUGGACAGUGAGAGAGAGAGACAGAGAGAAAGGUCUUCCUUUGCCAUUGGUUCACCCUCCAAUGGCCGCCGCGGCCGGCGCGCUGCGGCCGGCGCACCGUGCUGAUCCCGUGGCAGGAGCCAAGAGCCAGGUGCUUUUCCUGGUCUCCCAUGGGGUGCAGGGCCCAAGCACCUGGGCCAUCCUCCACUGUACUCCCUGGCCACAGCAGAGAGCUGGCCUGGAAGAGGGGCAACCGGGACAGAAUCCGGCGCCCCAACCGGGACUAGAACCCGGUGUGCUGGCGCCGCUAGACGGAGGAUUAGCCUAGUGAGCCGCGGCGCCGGCUAAUUCCUCUUUUGAAAGUUCUUGGGAAUAAUCACCCAAAUCAAGAUGUUUAGAAUAUGUAGCUUCAAAGAGUCUCCCCUUGAGCUCCCUCUGAGUCAAAAUGUCCCAAAGAUAAGCACUGGUCUUGUUUCUGUCACCAUGGAGCAGUUUUUCCUCUUCUUGAAUGUCAUAUAAAUGGACUCAUACAAACAAAUGAACGAUUCCUUGCAUGCCUGGGCACACAACCAUCUGCAUUUAGCUAAUAUACUCAGUAGUGUUAAGUAAAUGUUCAAGGAAUGCUUAAAGGACUGUGGCUACUGAUGGCAUGCAAAGCUAUUCAUAAAUAUAAAUCCAUAUUUCAAUCUGUGAAUAUAUAAUAUAAAUAUGAAGAUGAUUAAAAAAACACCGUGGAUGGGCAGGCAUUGUGGUGCGCUGGUUGAGCCACCACUUGGGACAUGCCCCAUCAGAGUUUGGUUCAAGUACUGACUG